RNAcentral lists this ribosomal RNA (267 nucleotides) under uncultured bacterium. RNAcentral's name for it is "partial 16S ribosomal RNA". It matches the Rfam family "Bacterial small subunit ribosomal RNA", at positions 793 to 1055 of the family's 1533-position model. The record is from RNAcentral.
GUCCUGGCAGUAAACGGUGCACGCUUGGUGUGGCAGGAUUCGACCCCUGCCGUGCCGGAGCUAACGCGUUAAGCGUGCCGCCUGGGAAGUACGGUCGCAAGAUUAAAACUCAAAGAAAUUGACGGGGACCCGCACAAGCGGUGGAGUAUGUGGCUUAAUUCGAUGCAACGCGAAGAACCUUACCUGGGCUUGACAUGCAUUUUGUCGUCUGUGAAAGCCGGCUAGUAUCGCAAGAUACGGGAUGCACAGGUGUUGCAUGGCUGUCGU